This is a long non-coding RNA of Mastomys coucha (southern multimammate mouse), 603 nucleotides long. RefSeq lists it as uncharacterized. The transcript has 3 exons. The record is from RefSeq and is a predicted model, not a curated record. Lineage: Eukaryota; Metazoa; Chordata; Mammalia; Rodentia; Muridae.
UGCCUCUGCCGAGAAAUCACGUGGAUUCAAAGUGCCAGCCCCAGGGCGCGAGGGUAGGGUGCCCGGAACCCGCUGCGGCUUGGAGAUCGCAGCUGGAUGUGCCUUUCUGACUACUACCAAGACAGGAGACGAUGUAGGAUGGAGGCAGGAGGAGUAGCUGAGCAAAACUUGGUGGAGUUGGGUCCAGAGUUCUGAUUCCUGAUCUCCAGUGCGCGACAGCCGCUCAUCACCUGAGACCUGACCCGGACAAGCAUGGUCUCCAGGGAGCCUUUCAAGAACCUUCCCCAUGCUCCUGGCUAUUUCCAGUAUUGGAUUCAUGCUCUGAGAUCCAAGGGCAGAAGAGAACAGAGAUAAAGGAUCUCAGACUGUGAAAAGGGAGCAGAGAGGUUUAGAGCUCACUGCCCAGUCUAACCUUAAUUGGUGAGAUCCAGGCCAAUUAGAGUUCUGGUCUCAGAGGUGGUAGGCAGUGGACAAGUGAGUUUAUCCUCUGGUCACUACAAGCAGGCACAAAGACACACACACACACACCUACACACACAUGAACACAAAGAUUCACAAAUGCAUGCACACAAGCAUCAUUUGUUUGUUUGUUUGUUUUUUCAA